AUGACUGAGCCAUCCAGGGGUCUCUUUUACCUUCCUAUCAUCUAUUUGUGGACAGGAGGGGUAGAGGGCGAUGUGCUGGCUUCACUGGCACCUCCAGUUCACCUGUCAGGGGAGAGGCUUGGUUGGACCCUGCUGGUGUGCAUUGUGAAUGACUUCAGGAGAGGGCACCUGGAGGUCAGCUGGAGCUCAGCGUCAGAGGGUCACAUGCCCACCACACCAUACAGCAUUGCUUUAACCAGGAAGCACCAUGUCCCCAAUGUGGUGGCUGUUAUCACUGUGACAACCAGAGACUGGCCAUCAUACAGUUGCUCAGUAAGUCGCAAGAGACACUCAAAAGGCAAGAGGAGACGCCGCAUCACCUCAUCAGAUCAUCAAGACAAACUGUGCCAUGAAGAAGAAAAAAUUAAAGGCAUCGAUGUGUGGACAAACACGGUGGUUAUCCUGGUUAUGAGGCUGCUUCUCAUGAAGAUCCUCGCCUUUGACACUCUGAUGACCAUUUAUGUUGUUAUUAAGUGGUAA
Oreochromis niloticus (Nile tilapia) is the source of this 519-nucleotide long non-coding RNA. The record is from Ensembl. Lineage: Eukaryota; Metazoa; Chordata; Actinopteri; Cichliformes; Cichlidae.